This 319-nucleotide long non-coding RNA is filed under the name Trifolium pratense (red clover). Its description in RNAcentral is "long non-coding RNA (TPRA_LNC004794)". Lineage: Eukaryota; Viridiplantae; Streptophyta; Magnoliopsida; Fabales; Fabaceae. The record is from RNAcentral.
CCUUCUAGUAUAUAUACCACCAGAAAAGAGUCGUUGCAAAAAGAACCGUUGGAGUUGAUAAUCUUUUGUCUUCAAGCAGUCUGUCUUGAUGCAGUUUGUUUGUAUCUAAACUGAGUAAGAGUUUCAGAUACUUUGACUACUGCAGAGUAGACUUUCCUUAUUCAGCUAACAAGUCUGAAGACCCACGUUCUCAAGUGAGGACAGACAAAAUGAGAGUAGCUGAACUGAUCAGGCUUGAAAGGUCCUUUUCUUCAUUGGUAGAAGAGUUGACUUGCAAAGGGAAUCUUCACAGCUUUCAAAAAGAUCUUCAGAGGUUGAN